CAGAUGACUGGCAAUGCUCUGGAAUUGCCCCGUCUAAGUGACCUCUGGGGUUGCCAUGUUGUUGGAUUGUUUCCUGAUGGAUCCCUAUUCUCAGUAUUUUUUCAACAGCUGGUCUGCAGCACUGCACAAACUGAUGUGUAUCGACAUUUACCGAUAAAGCUCUAGUCCUGCCAUGCCUACCUGUAUAGAAGAACCCUGCUCUGGCCAGUUGCUCAGGAUACAGCUCUGUGUACGGUGGCCAGCUCUGGAAAGUGGCUAGUCGCAUCGCCUCCGUUUCCAUCUCCGGGUAUUCUGGUUGACUGGGCAGGGCUGCUUCUUCCACAUCCAUCCUCUGUAGGAGGCUGAGGAUCUGCCCAUCCACAUAGUCCAAGAUCUCCAGAAAGGGGAGCAUCUGCUGGUUGCCAACAUCUUCACCACAGAUGAACUUACAGAUCAUUGCAGCUGCCAUUCUGGAGGGUGUGGUACACCUUGCAAGACCUGAGUGAUUUCACCUGCUGGGGAAAUGCCUAUUGCUGCUUUCCUCUGAUUGGCCAUUCUACCUUUCAUCUCCAUUCACUCCCCCUGGGAGGGGAAGGGCCCAGGUGAACAUUCAGCCAUGUCUCCUACUAGUCUUUCAGUAAGUAACUGUUCAGGUAGCUAGAGCAGACCUCACCCCCCUGUUGCUGUUUGGGACACUCCCUAUACAUACCCACAGUUGUCAUCCCUCCUUCUCCCGCCCCUGAAAUCCCCCACUGAAAGUGGUAGCUGAACAGCAGGCUCAGAGAUUCUCUGUGGAAAAGGAUGUCGUGAGGGAUGCUUAAAGUUGUGUGCUGGAGGAUUUCGUGGAGAUUCACUCUUAGCCCUCGCAGCACCCUGGAGACCAAUUAGGAGCUAGGAGACCUGCUGUAGCA
Long non-coding RNA from Mauremys mutica (yellowpond turtle), 890 nucleotides. RefSeq lists it as uncharacterized. The record is from RefSeq and is a predicted model, not a curated record. The transcript has 3 exons. NCBI's taxonomy places the organism in Eukaryota, Metazoa, Chordata, Testudines, Geoemydidae.